GAACCUGGUCAAGCACAUUUGCACCCGAGGGACACAUGGCAGCCAUCCGGAGGCAGCACAAGAUGGAUCCACUAAGGGUCGAAUUUCAUCAUCCGGGAGGAUCUAAAAGCCCGCAACGGAUUUGUGAUUUGAUCUCCCGCAACCCCUCAUCCAGAUCCCGCGAUCAAGGCCCUCAUCUUCCGCCCGUUUAAGGCGCUUCCCAGCUUCCUCCUUCCGCUUGCGAC
RNAcentral lists this long non-coding RNA (224 nucleotides) under Phoenix dactylifera (date palm). RNAcentral describes it as "long non-coding RNA (PDAC_LNC010828)". Lineage: Eukaryota; Viridiplantae; Streptophyta; Magnoliopsida; Arecales; Arecaceae. The record is from RNAcentral.